Molecule: unclassified non-coding RNA, 4103 nt
Filed under: Leishmania donovani
Lineage: Eukaryota; Euglenozoa; Kinetoplastea; Trypanosomatida; Trypanosomatidae
Description: gene:LdHU3.33.3800(CDS-product:isocitrate_dehydro genase_putative)
Source: RNAcentral
ACAGAGGACUUAGAAGCAGCGGCGUAGUACCCACCUCCCCGUCGGCCUUCGUCCUAGGGUUUGCUUCUUUUGUUAUACUCAGCACCGCUCUCGUGUUGUCUCUCUCUCUCUGUGUCUCGCACACAUUUGCCGUGCGCUCUUUGGUUGGCUCCUCCUCGCCUUGCCCGACUUCCCUCUCCUUCCUCUCUAUCUUUAUCGCGGAUCCGCCCUUCCCCGUCUUCCUCCUUCCGUUGGAGUGCCUCGCGUUUGGUUGGUGGAGGCGGUGGUGGCGCACUGUCCGCGUAAGUGCCACGGCUGGUGAGAGCACACAGUCGUUCUCUUUUCUCUGCCGUGUCGACGUGUGGUAGUGCCGCAUCUAAAGGGGCAGGCGUCUCAGAAUGGCGGAAUCCAUCGCUUUCGCGAAGGGGGCGCUGGUGGUGCCAAGUUGCCCCAUUAUCCCCUACAUUGAGGGGGACGGCAUUGGCAAGGAGAUCACGGAGGUGGCACACCGCGUCUUUGAUGCGGCGGUGGCGAAGGAGUACGGCACCACCCGGAAGAUUUCGUGGUUAGAGGUGCUCGCAGGGGAGAAAGCGUUUGAGCAGAAGGGCACCUGGCUGCCGGAGGAGACCAUCGAAGCAUUCGACAAGCACCGCAUUGGCAUGAAGGGCCCGCUGACGACCCCUGUUGGUGAGGGGAUACGCUCGCUCAACGUGGUGCUGCGUCAUCGGCUGGACUUGUUCGUGUGCCAGCGCCCCGUGCGAUGGUUCACCGGCGUCGGAUCGCCGAUCCGUCACCCGGAGUGGGUGGACAUGGUUGUGUUCCGCGAGAACACGGAGGACAUAUACUCUGGCAUCGAGUGGGACCAGGGCACUCCCGAGGCUGCCAAAUUUGCAGACUUUCUGAAGAAGGAGAUGGGCGUGACGACGGUGCGCUUCCCUGAGACGAGCGCGUACGGUGUGAAGCCGGUUUCGCUAGAGGGAAGCGAGCGGCUGGUGCGUGCAGCGGUGCAGUACGCUAUCGAUCACCAUCUUCCGUCUGUCACGUUGGUGCACAAAGGCAACAUCAUGAAGUUCACAGAGGGUGGCUUCAAGAAGUGGGGCUACGCCUUGGCCGAGCGUGAGUUCCCCGGGGCCAUCUUUACAAUGACGCAGUACGACGCCAUCAAGGAGAAAAGCGGCAAGGAGGCGGCUGAGACGGCGCUGCGCGAGGCGAUGGACAGCGGCAAAGUAGUUAUCAAGGAUUGCAUCUGCGACGCCUUUCUGCAAAACACAAUUCUCCGCCCAUUAGACUAUAGCGUGAUUGCAACCAUGAACCUGAACGGCGAUUACGUGUCUGAUCAGCUGGCCGCGCUUGUCGGUGGCAUCGGCAUCGCGCCAGGCGCGAACAUCAACUAUGUGACCGGCCACGCUAUUUUCGAGGCAACGCAUGGGACGGCGCCGGAUAUUGCUGGACAAGGUAAAGCGAACCCGUCCUCGCUCAUCCUGUCUGGGGCUAUGAUGUUCGACUACAUGGGCUGGUCCGAGGUGUCGGCGCGCAUCAUCAAUGCGCUUGAGAUGGUCUUUCAGGCAAACAUGGCAACCGUCGAUCUUGCGCGGCAGAUGGCCGGCGCCAGGGCACUCUCGACAGCAGAAUUUGGGGAGGCGAUCAUCAAGAAGAUCAACGGCGACGAGGUGUAGGGCAGAGGCGGCGCUUCGAUACCCACCAGUGGAGUGGCAAUGAAAAAGUGAACACGGGCACAUGCGGAUUCGGCACUCCCGACUCUGCUGCGCCGCAUUGUGCUUCGCUCUGUUUUCCCCCCUAUUUCUAUCUACCCUUCCCUGUCUCGUUUUUUUUUGUCUUUUGCUCAUAGAGCGGAGUUAAAGUAACCACCACAACCCCCCUCUACCCCUUCCCAUCGCUCUCUGCCCCUUUUAGAUAUUUGUGUACGCACUGGAUCUGCUCGCGCUGAGCUGCGCGUUGGAAGCCCAUUGCCUGUACGCUCAUCCGUGACUCUGGGUAGAAAGAUACCGAGUGUGCGAUGAAGGAUGCGAGAAGGGGCGGCUGCACAUUAGCAUGGUUGACGUUGUUUCAUGGAGUUCCUCCCUGCUCUCUCUUAUUGGGUGAAACACCAUAAAAGACAAAAAAAAAACAGCGCGACGAGAAGAUUCCGCAUGCAUGUGUGUGUUUUUACACUCAAGUGCCAGUAGGUGACUGGCGCACUCCACCUCUAAUUCGUGUGCUUCUGUGUGUGCGUGCGUUUAUUUUACCUCUAUUACGUGCGUCUAUGACAGUGGUGGUGGGGUGACACCCCUCUCUGUGCGUGGUAUCCAGUGGCUAGUAACCCCCCGCCACACUCGAGGGAGAAUGCCAAGCAGCACUCCUUCCUCUAUCCUCCAUCCCUGUCACGACCUGAAGUGGUUCUGGCCGUGACAGGAUCAAGUGCCUGCAACGUGGCGAAGUCACAUCGAUUCAUUGUCACUGAUAAGUCGACGGUAAGGGCCUGGGUGGCGCUGUGUUGGAGCGACCUGUGGCUGUGAACAAGUCUGCACCACACAUACAUAUGGGCAGAAAGUGACAGCGCGACUCGAGCUCAUCACACCCGGGCCGCACGCCGCCUACAGAAGCGCGGACCGCCCGCGCCACCCCGAGGGGGGGUGCACCCGAUGGUGACCGUCAUGACGGGAGGGACUGUGGGUGACCUGCGAGGGGUUCGCGGGUGUGGGCAGAGUUUGAAGUAAAGCUCGUGCUUGGAUGACGGAGGUGGCGCAUUUGCCGUAGGGCACGUCUCUAAGGCUGCUUCGCGCCACGCGUAUGGUGCCUCUGUGACAGGCCUGGGGCCGGGUGCCGAGUCGUCGUUGAGUUCAAGCACUGUUGCGGAGAAUCGACAAGUUGACGAAGAAACAGCGAAAACGUUUUUCUUGCUUCUGUUACUUUUCUACGUUAAAAAAGAAAAUAUGUUUUUUUUUUCGACGCUUCUCAUGUGUUCCUUCCCCUUCUUCACCGUGUCUCUCUGUCUGCGUGUCCGUCUCUCUCUCUCUCGCUGUGUUUGUGUGUGUGAGGGAGGGGAGAGAGAAAGAGAGAGGGAGACGCACACAGACACACACGCACACACACAGAGAGACGGUUUGCCCACUACAGGUUCCCUCAUAUGCUCUUUUUGCUUUUCGCUGAUGGUUUUAUUUUUCCUUUUCCUUGAUCGGUCGACUCGCACACGGGCUACGUGACGGGUUUGCCGUAUGUCUUUUCCUCUGUCUGUGUCUCUGCCCGUCGCCCUCUCUCGUCAAGCCUCGCACGACCAAACACAUCAGCGCCGAUCUACUUAUCUGCUCGCUUCUGUAACGCUGCCUUUGUGCAGUACUUUGGACGGGAAAAGCGUUCACCUCUUAUUCGCUGUUGAGCCUCCCCCCUCUUCCCGUCCCUGUCCCCGUCCUAAGCCGUAUCCCUCUCUCUGGUGGGCAAGGGGAACGUCCUUACACCUGACGUCGUCGCUUGCUCCGUUUUCUUUGAUCGCCGCUCCCUAUGGUUUGCUGCGGUGACGCGUUUGAGUUCGACGCUGACUUUGAGGAUGGUUGUCGCAGGACUUGUCGAGGGAUGCUUGGAGAGGGUGCGUGCGCGUGUGUGUGUCGGUGGGAGGAGAAAGGGGAGAGGAGGGAGUGGGGGGAGAACAAUGAGAGGGCAAUAGAGAAAAUGGAACGAAGAGCCGGCGUGUGCGUCGAAGUCCCUGCACGCACGUGCGCGUGCGCACGAGUUCCACUUGUAAUCCUGCGUAAUGUAAGACGACGAAUCACAAAAGAAGCCCAGUGGAGAGAGUGAGAAGGGCGAGGUUCACAAGGGCAGUCUACACAGAGGCUGCAAUUUGUCGAGCGAACAGCGAUGCACAUCGGAGUGUUGGUUCCUGCUUCCCGGCACACGCGCGUUGAGGAGCGCAGAGCGAGCACGCACCUGCUUUGUGCUUGGCAAUAAGUACCAGAAUUUUUUAUGGUGCGACCUGGGGGGUGGUGGUGGUGUACACAUCAAGGGUGUGCGGCACAAUGCGUCAAGACGCAAAACAACGCUUGACUGUGUCUUCACCCCCCCCCCCCCGCCGCCGCCACUGCCGUGUCCUCUCUCUAUAGCAGCUUCACUGGGCAGAUAAAUGGGCGAGC